AGAGUUUGAUCAUGGCUCAGGAUGAACGCUAGCGACAGGCUUAACACAUGCAAGUCGAGGGGCAGCACAAUGUAGCAAUACACGGGUGGCGACCGGCGCACGGGUGAGUAACGCGUAUGCAACUUGCCUAUCAGAGGGGGAUAACCCGUCGAAAGACGGACUAAUACCGCAUGAAACAGGGGCCCCGCAUGGGGAUAUUUGUUAAAGAUACAUCGCUGAUAGAUAGGCAUGCGUUCCAUUAGGUAGUUGGCGGGGCAACGGCCCACCAAGCCGACGAUGGAUAGGGGUUCUGAGAGGAAGGUCCCCCACACUGGUACUGAGACACGGACCAGACCCCUACGGGAGGCAGCAGUGAGGAAUAUUGGUCAAUGGGCGAGAGCCUGAACCAGCCAAGUCGCGUGAGGGAUGACGGCCCUACGGGUUGUAAACCUCUUCUUAUAAGGGAAUAAAGGACAUCACGUGUGGUGUUUUGCAUGUACCUUAUGAAUAAGCAUCGGCUAACUCCGUGCCAGCAGCCGCGGUAAUACGGAGGAUGCGAGCGUUAUCCGGAUUCAUUGGGUUUAAAGGGUGCGUAGGUUGCCGAUUAAGUCAGCGGUGAAAGUCAGUGGCUCAACCAUUGAGCUGCCGUUGAAACUGGUUGGCUUGAGUACGUACGGGGCAGGCGGAAUGCGUGGUGUAGCGGUGAAAUGCAUAGAUAUCACGCAGAACCCCGAUCGCGAAGGCAGCCUGCCAGGCCGUGACUGACACUGAUGCACGAAAGCGUGGGUAUCGAACAGGAUUAGAUACCCUGGUGGUCCACGCAGUAAACGAUGAUCACUAGCUGUUUGCGAUAGAAUGUAAGCGGCACAGCGA
Molecule: ribosomal RNA, 852 nt
Filed under: uncultured bacterium
Lineage: Bacteria
Description: bacterial SSU rRNA
Rfam family: Bacterial small subunit ribosomal RNA
Source: RNAcentral